This 28-nucleotide small RNA is filed under the name Bombyx mori (domestic silkworm). RNAcentral describes it as "ovarian small RNA-28544". The record is from RNAcentral. Lineage: Eukaryota; Metazoa; Arthropoda; Insecta; Lepidoptera; Bombycidae.
UCGCAACGUCGGAAGGUGCGCUCGAAAA